GCAGGGGGGAAGAAAGCUUCAGCAGUUUUCCCAAAGCUGUAUUUGUUUACUUUAAUCAUAAUGAUCUCCUAAUGGUGUGAACUUCUCAAUUCAUAGUGCAUUCAUAUUCCUUUUACAGUUGCAGAGGAUACUGAUUAACAUUCAGUCAGAGGAUAAACUCAGUGAAAGGAUACUUAUUAUGUCAUUUACAAAUUGUGGUUAAAAUUUCACUAACAAAAUUUCACUAAUACAGAGCCAACUCCGUGUGUCUUAUUUUUGUCUUUUUAAAGUGGAGUCAAUAAUAGGAAUUAGUUUCAAUAAUUUUAUAUGCUACUUAGUUACUUGUAUAUCAGCAUGAUUACUAUAAGAAAAAGAUAAUAGUUUCCUUGAAACAAACUGAUUGUAUUUGCCUCUGUUUGAAGUAAUUUUUUAGAAAAAAAAAAGUGGGGAUAUCACCUGCAUUUUCAAAAGACUGAAUUUUUUUUGAGCACUCAUACUUCAGGUUAAUGCUAUACUACUCUUUGUCUAAUGGUAGCAACUAAAAAUGUCCACUAAGAUGGAACCUAGUAUGCUAUACUCUGAGCAAUGUAAACCUGUAAUUAAGGCUAAUGUUCUCCAAAAGAGAUUACAAAACACCUCAACAAGUCAGACAAAAUACAAAAAGGGAGGACUUGUUAUGUCAUUUUUAUUGCUGGAGAAGUGAGAUACAAUAAUAUUGCUUUAAUGGCCCCUGGUCAUGCAUAGAAUUUGUGGAGAUUUCAGAAAGUGAACUGAAUUCUUCUGAAUGCCAGUGUGGAUUUUCAGGUGAACAAGCACACUGCUCCUUAGAAAUUACAGUUUCUCCUCUGGGCUCACACGGGAAUUGUUCUUGAGAGACUGGCUACUGAACCAAACACUUUGCAGUUAAAAUCUCAGUGACACCUCGGCCAGGCUUCAAUGGUCUUGAGACACUGCAAUGGUUUAUUAUGCAGCAUCAUAGUACUAAUAUGACAGACUAGAAGAGGCUUUGGGAGUCCAAUUCCUAGUUCCAAGACAAAACCAACUGCUGAUUGCUGAUCUCUUUUUUUUUUUUUAGAGAGCUUUACCUAGUAUCUAAUGCUUCUAGAGAAGAUCCUUCAACAUUCUUAGGGUAGUUUCAUAACACAUAGGACAACUGCAUAUCACAGCUUAGUCUCUUGUAGCAUAUGGACUCUUGCUUCUUAAAAUGAAAGGGGUAUGAAAAAGAAGAUGAAAAAGUUUCAAGGACAUCUACCUGUUGCCAGCAUAUUCAUAAGAACCUCUGAAAGGGGAGCUGCUGGGCAGAAUGGAACUGCAUAUCCUGGACACCAGAAGUCGAGGGUUGUCUGCACUGAGUUUUAUUCCUUCAGUAAGUAAAUAGGCCUAACACUUUGAAGUGGCACAGUGUUUCAUUGAAUCAGCUGGGUAAGGAACAGGCAUUAUAACACCUUUCAGAGAAAAGAAAGGAAAUUAACAACCAAGAUUGGGUCUAUUUUAUCUAAUUUUCAUGAAUGAGUGAAUGAAUUAUAUGUACCUGUGGCAUUUCCAUGAUCUUUUUAAAAGUAGAUUUUUGUAUAAUUAGAAUGCGAAGAAAAUAUGAAGAUAAAGUAAAUGCAUGUGUAACUCUGCAAAUGUACCUGACAAUACAUUUUAGUGAAAUGACUAAACCACUUCUUUUUUUCUGAAAGACAUAGAAAAUUAAAAAAUACAAUAUUUUCCUCAGGUCCCCUGAUGUGAGGGAGGGACUCCUCUAAUCACAUCCUUUGAACUUGCUAAUUCAGCUGGAGGACCUGACACUAGGAAUAAUGAGUCAGCUAACAUGUAAUUUAAUAUAAGCUUAUAGUUUCAAAUCAUAUGGUAAACUGUUGUAGAAACUUUUAAGAGAAUGAAAAAUUUUGCUUGUACUCAUGGCUGUUGGAAUCAGUGGAGCAAGACACUGGGUGAAAGGUACAUCUCCCCCUUUAUUUACUUUGUUCUCAUUUUUAUGUUAAUAUAACUGUUUAUAUUAGAGAUUAAUGUCAGGAAUAAAACUCUUAUUCAGCAACCUCCUUAAUCUUCUGCAACACCACUUAAAGGGCAUCACACAGCCCACAGGCUAGCACGGGACAGGAGCUCACCCAGUGCAUGCAGAAGCACCCUUAUGUAUGUUAAGGAUUAUUAACUUUUUGUGAGCCUGUAGAUUAGUAUCUUCUUUGACUGCUUCCCUGUCAAGUUCCCAAGGACCAGCUGCUCUAUUCUAACUUUUUGUUCAUGGCAUCUUUUCUUCUAGCGUAUUGAGAUAACUCAUAGCAAAGUGACCAACAAACAGAGGUUCAAUUACCCAAAGUCAUUUUGGUAAUGGAAGGCUGAUCUGAUUUCUGGAAAACAGACUGGGAAUCUUGGUUCUUAAAUUUCUGGUAAUGUUGUAACUACCUCUUUGAGCUGAUCUCUAGAAAUUGUUCUGAAACUUCUAACAUUAUCAGAAUAUUCUUAGUUAGCUUUUGUGCAGUAGUUUCUAAGACAGCAUUUUAUAUAAAUAAUCUCUGUUGAAAAUAAGUGAGAAGAUAGUUCAGAUACAAAAGCAUCAUCCAGUUCAAAUUGUUAUCGAUCACUAAAGAUUUAAAGGAAAAAAACUUUAGAAAACUGUUACAGAGUGCACAAUAAUAUAUUCUCAGUGGAUGGAAUCCACUCAGCUUUUUAUCUUACAGUAGAUGAUUCCACCAUGAUUUACUAUUUUCAAUGUAGCUGCACCUUUUUUUUCUCUUUUAACAGGCACAACAGAGAAGUUAAUGGCUAUAUGUUACAUCUGGUUUUAGAUACUAAGCCCUAUUGGGAAGGAUGUUGUCUUUUUGUACCUUCACAACUACAUCAUUCACUGUGUAUAAAUAUGAGGAAUAGCAUAAAAGUAUUAAUUUAAGUGAUGAUAAAGUGACAGCAUAAAUGCCAGAUGAAUAAACUUGCACAUACCUUUAAAAGGGGUAGUGGUGCAUCUGUAUUUAGAAAUGUUCACUGGCUUUGGAAGCAAACAGAAUCACUUCCAGAAGACAUAAGACUUCUGUUAAGUUAUCAUGAAGGAUAAAGGAUAGGUAAGUUAUAAUAGGUAAGUUAUAACAGAGGCAACAUUAUUAUGACCAAAGGGCAAAAUAAGCAUGCGUACUGAGAUAGUCACACAAUCCUGUGUCUGCACCUUGCUACAUGAGUAAUGGCUUUUUAUGUUCUUUAAGAGCAGUAGCAGAAAUACUAUACUCAAAACACUGGCUGUAUCUGUAUUUGAAAUGCUUGACAUAAAUAGGAACUUAUUUGCUCGUGUCGCGUUUGGUUCUUUUACAGGCCUAGAAGAGCAAAUAACCUUGACUCACAUGUGCUGCAGGCAAUCAUUGUGCAAGAACUAGCAUGCAGUAACUUGUACCUGCUCAAGACAGUGGCUUGUGACCUGCUCUGUCAUUAUCAUAUGUCUUCAGCACCAUCUGAGAAGUGCCAGGACCUGCUUUUUUAUUAAAGAACACGGGCAGGAGGCUGAAAAUGAAGGGACAAAGGCUCAGGGAGUUACACUCUGGUGUGGAGAGAUGGAAUAUGAUGCAGGAGAUGGUAGAAGUAUAGCCCAGAAAGAAUGAGGUGUAAAAGUGGGAGCACUAUAAUAAGGUGUAAUUUUGAAAGGCCUGUGACAAGUAGGUCCAUGCAGUAGACUAGAUCACAGGACUAGCAGACACCUGAAGCCAGCCAACAAGUGGAGAUACUAUCAUCUCCUAAGAGUAAUCUUUUAUCUUUUACCCCAGUCUCCCAACAGAAUACAGAGAGAAGAAUGCUAAGGAAUGAGACAAACACAAGAAACAAAUCUUAUAACAAGUGACUCUCUCAAUACAUGAGAGAGAUUUGAGUGUGUGACUUAGCUAUGCUAUAUUCUUCACCUGCCCCAUAAACUGCCACUGUCUGCUCUAAUCCUCCCAACUUUCCAUAGGCUACAUUGGUGGGGUUUGAGUUCCAAAUUUUUCUCCACAAUCAGGAGGGCUAUAUUUUUCCUGCUUUUAAUAAAAGCAAAGAUUCUGAUGUAAUGACUGUAGCACUUUGCAUGAUGUUGUAUGAAGCUAUUGGGUAAUAAUUAACUCAGUUUUGAGCUGAUUAAUUGUUUCUAUGACUUCUGCAGAACAGCAGCUGGUAAGCCAAUUGAAAAGACGAGCUAUAGUUUCAAGUAUGAGCAAUUGCAUAUUUAGAACUGAGGAAGCUAAAGAAUCUUUGAUCAAAAUUCAUUGCAAAAAAAAAUCCUCCCUGUCCUAAGCAACAACUUCACUGCAUUAACUAGCAAGAAGGCCAUUCAGACAAUUCCUGUUUGGCUUUUCCCCUGCUACCUGCAUAUUUAGUCAGGCUUUGCAGAGGGACCUGUCCAUCCACAGCACAGCACCCUGCCAGGGAAGGCCAGGUGGAUUGGGUCUGUGGAAGCACUGGGCAGGCACCAUGGUGACACGGCUAUAUGCAGGGUUUCUGCCUUGGAGUCCUGCUGCAGCCCUUGCAUGGGCGAGGGCCCACAGCUGGAGCACUGGUUUUUCUCCAUGGCAAGGUACCAUGCAGACAGCUCUCUGCUCUGCUUGAUGCCAUGGGACAAUCAAGUGUUUGAAAGCAGGAGAAUCCCACCUCAGGCUGCUAGGUCCCUCAGCAAUAGGCCCCACUGCUCAGGAAAGGAGCCUACCUGGAGGAAGAGAAGGACUCGCUUGCCAAUGCAGAGCUGCGUGCAAGCCUGGGGGGGUACCAUAUGCUAACGGCUUUUGGGUUAUAAUGAGGUCACCUGGCCACAGUGCAUAAUGGAAAUGCAACUAAUACAGAAUCAUCCAGAAAGCCUAUUAGGGAGCUCUGAAGAGUGCUCCAGAGACUGGACACUUGUAAGGGUUUUUCUCUUGCAUUAAAAACCCUUGAGGGUCAGGGGUAUGGCCUCGCAUGUUGUGAAAGGUCAGCUAGGCACAGGCAUUAAGUCCAGGCAAGAGGGGAAGUCUGCUAGAAUUUGCUAUGCCAGGAAAAAACUGUGAAAAACACAAAUGUGAAAAAGUGCAGACCUAUUUACUAUGUAAUGCUGGUAUAAGUGAACAACAGAGAGUGGAAAAACCAAAGCACAAAAUUAUAGGGUGCUACUGAUCUCAGCUAAAAUACUGGAAAUGUUUCCAAGCCUUAAAGCUGUUGUAUUACCUAGCUUUCUUGUUGGGCUGUAAAAUAACAUUUAAAGCUUUGCUGAAAUUUCCUAAAAUGUAAUGCUUUUUAAGUGACACUUACCUGACUCUCCAGCCUGCUCAUUGCUCCAGCGGCGUUCCGUGUUGGCCGCGCCAUCCUCAGCAUCCUGCCUGCUGGGACAUUACUCAGAACAGAAACACAGAAUCUGGAUCAAGAAAGUACAUUGUGUGACCUAGACGUGAAAAAGAUAAGUAUGUAUAAUGUUGCAAUAGAGUUCUGAGUGGUUCUCAGCCCAUCUAUUCAGAGCAUUCAAAGCAGGAAGUUGCUGAAAUUUCGCAAGUUACUUUUGCAAGUCCCCUUUAAGUCUUCUAAAUUAAUGGAAAAAACAAGAUACAGACUUUUUAAAAGGCUUAUUUUUGUCUAGAUAAUAAAGACCCAUUUUUGAAUAUUGCAAUGUAGGGGGGAGUGUCCCAUGGAAAAUGUAUAUUGUCAUCAAAGAAUAAUUUUUUGUGACUUCUGAUAACAAUCAGAAGAGAGGUUGUAGUCCGGGUGGCUAGAAUUAAAGUGAUUAACAUCAGUAUGAUUCUGUUUUUCAAAAAGGGCUGGAAGAGUUCCACAAAUUACUACAACACAGCAUGGCAAUUACUUUUAAUAGUUGCCUUUUACAUAGACACAGUACAGUCCAGCUAUGCGAUUUUACUUUUUGUUCUCCCCUGUUUUAUAAAAUAAAUUAGAGGAGAAAAAAAUGAGGCAAACCAUAUGGAACCAAGGUUGGCUCAGCAGCAAUCCACUACACCAUCUCCAUUUAAGCAGUGUUUUCAUAGUAAGGAUCAUGGCAACUGUCUAACCAGCUCAUUCCCCUUUCUAUUACCUUUUUACAGAUGACACAAUAAAAUCUAAUUGGAAUGUUUCCCUUCUCUUUUAGAAACUUUUUUUGCCCUAGAUUCACUUUCAAAUCUUGCAAGUGUUGGGGUUGGAGAAACAAGCAAAUUUUUCUUCAAAUGGGUUUUGUAUUCAUAGAAAGAUCUUGAAGAGAUACAACAGAAAAUGAUGAAGCCAUGUUGACAGAACAGUUUAUGUGGACAUUAAUAUUAGUAUUUUUUAGAAAAGGAGCCCCAACGCAAUCUGCAAGAAAAUAAGUUUGUGAAGGAGGCUGCCUACAGAAGUUGUGGAAGCUCCAACCUCAGAGGAUUUAUGAACAAAAUGGAUUCUGUUCACCAAAGGGACCAAGCUCCUGAAAAAAAAAUGUGUAAAUGUCCUUAUUUGAAAAAGGAAGAUAUGCAGAAAAGGAAGCAGAAAAUCAGAGAAAGAAAUGCAUGGGUUCAAUGACAAAGGCAGCUGAAUGGAGCCCUGAGGAAGGGAGUCCUGCGCCUGCCUUCAUCUCACCAUCUUCCAGUGAUUUGAGCAAGAAGCAGGUUGGUGGCAGUAACCAGCUGCAGCUUUCAGAUGUCAGGCACGUAGAUUUCCAUGUUCCUGCAAUACCUCUCCUCAGUCCUGGAAAGGUUCAUACUGAGCGUGGGAUCAUAGCACCUGUUUUGGGAACAGCACUGGCCCAGCAAGAGCAGAGGAGCCUUCAGUAUGCAGGAACCUCUGAGGCAGGUACCAGUGGUAAGGUUCAGUGUUUGGCACAGAGGCAGUGAGACGGUAAGUUGAUCUGCAAUUAAUCAUAUGGAAUGGGAAGUUCUUUUGUCUGUGAAAGAACGAUCUGUGUGUCUGGGUACCUGCGACCUCCAACAUAGUCCUAUCGCUUUGAACUCCUGCUCAAAAAGGAGUUUUGAGCAUAUAUUCCCAUGAGGACCUAUUAAUAGUGCUUCCUACUAGAGUUUGGUCUUUGCAGAGACAAAUAUAUCAGCUUGGUUGUUAAUAUGUCAGCAUAUAUUCCUGGAGCGAACUCCUGUCCUAUCAAAACCUAUAAAACAGGAACCAGAAAUCUGGGUUGAGUGAGAAGAAUGUCUUUAAAUUUGGGAACUACUUAUAAAAAAACCCAACAAGAUGUUGCUUCAUGCAUAUUUUUCUGAGUAAUAAAUAGCCAGUAAUAAAUAACUGAUAGUAGGGAUUUCUCUCCUCCAUUUCUCAGCAAUUACUUUUUAAAUACAUUUGAAAAUUAGGAACAUUUUAACACAUGUGCACAGCAAAUGGAUAUGUUUGAGAUGUUCUUGCUUUGCCUAACACACUAAGAUUUGGUGUAAAGAAUUGGAAAUGUAUUAUAAUAAUAGUAAAAAUUAGCAGUGCAUUACAGUCCUGUAGUUAAAAAAAACCCUUUAAAGUCACUAUCUUCCAUCAUGAGUUUUUAAGUGCACAGAAAGACCUCAAGAAAAACAUGAAUGCAAGGUUACUUAGCUCUCCCAGGUUUUAUCUCCUGCUGAUGGUGCAGUGAUGAAAUAGAGGAUAUAGCAACAAGACUGUGUCAUGUAAAAAAACAAGAAGAAUAAAAUAUGUAUUUCUGUGCAGACUAACAAGUUUUUUCCAACAGCUGAGGUUAGGCUGUUGUGCUUUACUGAGCCCUGCGAGCAAUAACACUGGGCUGGCCUGCAAAUCAGUGAUCUACUUAACACCACAAAACAUGUUAUUCUGAUGAAAAAACAUAUCUCACAGAGGGGCUAUUCCGGACUGUCCUUCUCCCUGCUGUGCUGGCUGCAGUAGGCUGAACUCCCUGAGCACAGAAGAGGUAAACAUUUGGCUGAGAGAACCCUGCAGCUGACAUUGAAAGGUUCAUGUCAAACAUUACUGCCCAUGGCCUAGAAGAGACUGCAAGCCGAAGUGAGAAGUAACUUUUCACUCUUCAGAAAAAAUCUAGCAUUAUUUUAUCCAUACUAUCCAAUGACUCCACACCAGCCUGUACCUCUGUCCCCUGUGAUCCCUCUCUAUUGUCAGUGAAGAUCUAGGAAGCCUCAGAAUGGAUCUGAACAUAAUAUUCUUUUUCCCAGAGAAUUUGAACAUUAUUCAAGACAUCAGGGUAUGAUGUUACACUCUAAAGAGCUGGCAAAGCUGGCUGUUAUUGUUUGAGUUCGCAGAGCUAAAGUGAUUGUGACAGGCUAUAAAGCCAUACUACAUGUUCUUAGAGUUCAGAACAGUCCAGUAGGCUCCCAAAGAAUGAAUUGGAUACCUCUAUUGACCUAUAAAGAUAAUUUUUUUAUCCAAUUUUCCACUAUAAUUAUCUGCUUCCAACAUAAAAUAACCAAGUGAUACCUUUCCAUUUAUCUAGUACAUGUCAAAUAAAUUGGUAACUGUAAAUAGAAAUAAACACAUUCAUAACGGGCAAAGGAAGUGCUGUGCUGUUGACUAUUUGGGAAGUAUAGAAAAACAUAUUGUGACAAUUAUAAUCAGGAAUUUGUUCUGUAAUAUUCAACUCUUUUAAAAGUAAGGAACAAAAAAAUACCUGCUGUACCUGCUGCAUACAGACAGAAUCACAAGGUAUUUGUUGUGCACAACAAGGUGAAUUUCCUAUUACUGGCUUUUAGGAGGUAGUUUUGCUGGUUUUAACAACACAAUCCUUCACGAGUUUCUGCCCCACACAUCUUUUUCCUCCUACCUUUUGGUUUCAUUAGGUAAAAAAUGGUAGUUUUAACAGCAGACUUAUAAAUGCAUUUGCUUACUCAGGUUUACUUUCAGCUAAUACCUCCCUAUUAUACUGCUGUCAGCUAUGAGAUAUCUGUAUCACUGGUUGCAGUAGGAUUCCACUUGAAUGCAGAUUUUUAGUUCCCUGCCUGCAUUUAAUGCUCUUUCAAGUGUAUAUACUAAGAUGGUAAAUAACUUUUCUCUCAGUUUUUUAUCUCUGUCCUUGCUAUGUUAACUAGGCUCACAGUAGUACCUUUGUUUUCUCCUAAUUUUUGCUGUGUGAAUUUGUUAGAAAGCAAAGACACAUUUUCACUAGCUAGCACCAAUUCUCCGUACUUGCUGAUGUCUCUCACACAGCAGAACCAGAGAAACAGGUGCCAGGUACAAGGUUAAAUACGAUUCUUAAACUCUGUCUUUUAUAUUUAUACCAAAUCUUAUGAGACAAUUUUAAAAAACAUUUAAUAAUUGGAAGCUAAGCAGUAUGGGUUCCCUCAUCCUUUUAGUACAAGAAAGAAAGAAAGAACAGUAAGAGGAUCUUAAAAGUGUAAAAUACUUACAAGUCUCGGAAAAGCUGUG
Molecule: non-coding RNA, 9246 nt
Organism: Phalacrocorax carbo (great cormorant)
Lineage: Eukaryota; Metazoa; Chordata; Aves; Suliformes; Phalacrocoracidae
Source: RefSeq, a predicted model, not a curated record